GAUCUUUGUGCGACGAUACGUAUGAGUCACGGUCUCUCUAGGUCACGUCGUUCUUAGAAUCAAUGUGAUCUAUAUCGAUAAAUAAACAAAUAGUAUCCCAAUUCCUUUGUAGUCGUAAGAGAGAGGAGAAGGUCGUGGCUUCAGUUCGUCUUAAACUCUCGUUUGGUUAAUACGUAUAUAUAAUUUACUCCCGAGUAAUAUAGAAUUAAUCGUUUAAUUCGACGCAACAGAGUAUCCUCAAAGGAGCAACGUGCAACAACCAACGUCUCUCUUUCUCUUUCUCUUUCUUUCUCUCUUUUUUUUUUCUCUGUCUAUCUAUCUCUUUCUCUUUUACCGUAAUGGAGAUUGGAACGAAAAUCCUGUCACGCGUCUAACGAGAUACACCCUUCUUUUAUCACGUUGUCGCAUACUUUAUUAUUUUUCGUUAUUAAUAUUUCUCUUUCGGACUUUUAGGACCGACGAUCUCUUUCGGUAUUAAAUCGUAUGUUUACCCUCUCUGCGAAUGUUCGUCUAUAGAUAUAUCGUUUCUUUUGUCUAUUGAUUAAUAACGAUAGCGUAGAAUUCUUAAGUCGUCUUGUUUGUAAUCCAUUUUAUAUAGAAUUUUAUAAUAAUUACGUAUACUCGCAAAAAUUCAUUUACGACAACAUAUCUAUAUGAUAUAAUAAAACUUUAGAUAGAACUUUAGUUGAAUUUAAUCGAAUAAAAAUUAAGAAAUAGAUAUACGUAUCGUACGAAGAAGAAUAGAAGCGUAGCAGCGACAAUAACCAUAACAACAACGACAACAACAACAACAUCGAAGACGACGACAUUGAUUGGUAAUAACAUCGAAAGAAGAAGAAAUGAAAAAUAAGAAGAGAAAACUAGACAUAGAUAUAUCGUAAGUUGAAAUAUUACGAGGGUCGGCCUCUCGAUCGAUCGAUCGAUCAUAUCCGCCAUUACUCGAGAUAUCAACGUAACCAGAACGGAGUGUCAAAUCGCCCGAACGCACGUUCGUACACGUCCAGGAAAGUUUAAUUAAUCGAUUAAUCGAAAAGUUUGUCAAUGAGAGAGAGAAAGAGAGAGAGAGACACGUAACUCGUUUCGUUACUCGUACAUUUUUUUUCUAUAACAAUACUUGAUACUUGGAAUAAUAAUUAUAUAACAUAUCAUAUGAGAGAUAAUAUUAAUACAUAAAUAAUACAAAACUCUU
Vespula vulgaris is the source of this 1189-nucleotide long non-coding RNA. RefSeq lists it as uncharacterized. The record is from RefSeq and is a predicted model, not a curated record. The transcript is spliced from 3 exons. NCBI's taxonomy places the organism in Eukaryota, Metazoa, Arthropoda, Insecta, Hymenoptera, Vespidae.